This 278-nucleotide ribosomal RNA is filed under the name Klebsiella pneumoniae. Its description in RNAcentral is "partial 16S ribosomal RNA". It matches the Rfam family "Bacterial small subunit ribosomal RNA", at positions 662 to 941 of the family's 1533-position model. Lineage: Bacteria; Pseudomonadati; Pseudomonadota; Gammaproteobacteria; Enterobacterales; Enterobacteriaceae. The record is from RNAcentral.
UGGAACUCCAUGUGGAGCGGUGAAAUGCGUAGAUAUAUGGAAGAACACCAGAGGCGAAGGCGAGGACUUGGGCCAAUACUGACGCUUAGGCUUGAAAGUGUGGGGAGCAAAUAGGAUUAGAUACCCUAGUAGUCCACACUGUAAACGAUGGAUGUUAAGUGUCGGAGCGAAUACUUCGGUGCUGCAGUUAACACAUUAAACAUCCUGCCUGAGUAGUACAUUCGCAAGAAUGAAACUCAAACGGAAUUGACGGGGACCCGCACAAGUGGUGGAGCAUG